Molecule: transfer RNA, 77 nt
Filed under: Crassvirales sp.
Lineage: Duplodnaviria; Heunggongvirae; Uroviricota; Caudoviricetes; Crassvirales
Description: tRNA-Trp
Rfam family: tRNA
About the family: Transfer RNA (tRNA) molecules are approximately 80 nucleotides in length. Their secondary structure includes four short double-helical elements and three loops (D, anti-codon, and T loops).
Source: RNAcentral
GCGUCCUUAGUUCAAUCGGUAGAACAAUGGUCUCCAAAACCAUUGGUUGCAUGUUCGAGUCGUGCAGGGCGUGCUUA